GAGAGAGAAUGCAAGAACUUUUGAUAACAACAGUUUGGUCAGUAUUUCUUUUUCUU
RNAcentral lists this non-coding RNA (56 nucleotides) under Callithrix jacchus (white-tufted-ear marmoset). Lineage: Eukaryota; Metazoa; Chordata; Mammalia; Primates; Cebidae. The record is from RNAcentral.